GGGGAUAUAGUUAAGUAUAACAACCGGGUUGCAUUCGGUAGACACCUAAAAGGUUUUCCUCA
This 62-nucleotide transfer RNA is filed under the name Japyx solifugus. RNAcentral's name for it is "tRNA-Ala". The record is from RNAcentral. Lineage: Eukaryota; Metazoa; Arthropoda; Diplura; Dicellurata; Japygidae.